AUUGCCAAGGUAACCAAGAAGAUGAAAAAACCAUUUGCUUGACCUAAGCGAUUUCGCUGUGAUGCCUUUCGUUUGCUAAACGCCAACAACGAUGAUCUUUUUCGACAAAGGCCGAUAGGCGCCGGUUCUGGAUUUAACAGUUGGCGGUCUGUCUCUCGGUCUCGUGCCCAUUAUAGACGUGCAUCGUCGAAGUGUAUCAUCAUCACCCCAACGUGACGACAAGAGGCUUUCUGUCUCAGAUUUCUCAAAAACUCGAAAAUCCCGCCGACUUCGAAGUCCACCGCCACGCGUUUGUGCGGCAACAGAGCCCCAUUACCCCUGGCGAGGCUUUAUCACUCCCGAUCUCAAGCUCCGCUGGGGUUUCCCUGCUGUUAAGGCGACGGUCGCUUUGAUGCAGGGAAAUCUGAUUCUUUUCGGUUACGCCCCCGUUCCAAUGUCUCUUGUCGCAGUGUUAGCACUGAGAGUUCGCCAGUCCGCCAGAUAAUCUCGUGGCAUCUGCGCAAGAUUAGAGGUUGCGCUCGGAUCUAAGUCGGACAGUGCAACAGCUGUAGUACUUUCCGCGUCGUCCCUGCUUCAUCUGAGUAUUGUAAUUUCACAUCACCAUUAUAACCAUCGUCGUGGGUGCGGGCGAG
This is a long non-coding RNA of Varroa destructor (honeybee mite), 632 nucleotides long. RefSeq lists it as uncharacterized. Lineage: Eukaryota; Metazoa; Arthropoda; Arachnida; Mesostigmata; Varroidae. The record is from RefSeq and is a predicted model, not a curated record.